AACGAACGCUGGCGGCAGGCCUAACACAUGCAAGUCGAGCGGACCUUUCGGGGUCAGCGGCGGACGGGUGAGUAACGCGUGGGAAUAUGCCCUUCUCUACGGAAUAGUCCUGGGAAACUGGGGGUAAUACCGUAUACGCCCUUUGGGGGAAAGAUUUAUCGGGGAAGGAUUAGCCCGCGUUGGAUUAGGUAGUUGGUGGGGUAUGGCCUACCAAGCCGACGAUCCAUAGCUGGUUUGAGAGGAUGAUCAGCCACACUGGGACUGAGACACGGCCCAGACUCCUACGGGAGGCAGCAGUGGGGAAUCUUAGACAAUGGGGGCAACCCUGAUCUAGCCAUGCCGCGUGAGUGAUGAAGGCCUUAGGGUUGUAAAGCUCUUUCAGCUGGGAAGAUAAUGACGGUACCAGCAGAAGAAGCCCCGGCUAACUCCGUG
RNAcentral lists this ribosomal RNA (432 nucleotides) under uncultured bacterium. Its description in RNAcentral is "partial 16S ribosomal RNA". It matches the Rfam family "Bacterial small subunit ribosomal RNA", at positions 29 to 507 of the family's 1533-position model. The record is from RNAcentral.